GACGAACGCUGGCGGCGUGCUUAACACAUGCAAGUCGUACGGUAAGGCCCUUUCGGGGGUACACGAGUGGCGAACGGGUGAGUAACACGUGAGUAACCUGCCCACAACUUUGGGAUAACGCUAGGAAACUGGUGCUAAUACUGGAUAUGUGCUCCUGCUGCAUGGUGGGGGUUGGAAAGCUCCGGCGGUUGUGGAUGGACUCGCGGCCUAUCAGCUUGUUGGUGGGGUAGUGGCCUACCAAGGCGGCGACGGGUAGCCGGCCUGAGAGGGUGACCGGCCACAUUGGGACUGAGAUACGGACCAGACUCCUACGGGAGGCAGCAGUGGGGAAUAUUGCACAAUGGGCGCAAGCCUGAUGCAGCAACGCCGCGUGCGGGAUGACGGCCUUCGGGUUGUAAACCGCUUUCAGCAGGGAAGAAGCUUUUUGUGACGGUACCUGCAGAAGAAGCACCGGCUAACUACGUG
This 465-nucleotide ribosomal RNA is filed under the name uncultured bacterium. RNAcentral's name for it is "partial 16S ribosomal RNA". It matches the Rfam family "Bacterial small subunit ribosomal RNA", at positions 28 to 507 of the family's 1533-position model. The record is from RNAcentral.